Molecule: ribosomal RNA, 1958 nt
Filed under: human gut metagenome
Description: bacterial LSU rRNA
Rfam family: Bacterial large subunit ribosomal RNA
Source: RNAcentral
GAAAGUAAGCAAGGGCAGACGGUGGAUGCCUUGGCUCUCGGAGGCGACGAAGGACGUGAUAAGCUGCGAAAAGCCCGGGGGAGGCGCAAAUAGCCCUUGAUCCCGGGAUAUCCGAAUGGGGCAACCCGGCAGGUUGAAGGCCUGUCAUCCCGAAAGGGAGGCGAACGUGGGGAACUGAAACAUCUAAGUACCCAUAGGAGGAGAAAAUAAACAAUGAUUCCGUAAGUAGUGGCGAGCGAACACGGAAGAGCCCAAACCCAUGUCGUCUAGGCGACACGGGGGUUGUAGGACCACGACGUGGCAAGAUAGAGUCAAGUGGAACGCCUUGGAAAAGGCGGUCAUAGAGGGUGAAAACCCCGUACACGACUGACGAUUGAAGCCUAGUGGCAUCCUGAGUAGCGCGGGGCACGAGAAAUCUUGCGUGAAACAGCGGGGCCCAUCCCGUAAGGCUAAAUACUCCCGAGAGACCGAUAGCGAACCAGUACCGUGAGGGAAAGGUGAAAAGCACUUCGAACAGAAGAGUGAAAUAGUUCCUGAAACCGUGCGCCUACAAGCGGUCGGAGCUGCUUAAAGCAGUGACGGCGUGCCUUUUGCAUAAUGAACCUACGAGUUGCCUUUGCCGGCAAGGUUAAGUGUGACGACACACGUAUCCGAAGCGAAAGCGAGUCUGAAGAGGGCGUAUAGUCGGCAGUGGCAGACGCGAAACCAAGUGAUCUACCCUUGGCCAGGUUGAAGGCUGGGUAACACCAGCUGGAGGACCGCACCAAUAAGCGUUGAAAAGCUUCUGGAUGAGCUGAGGGUAGGGGUGAAAGGCUAAUCAAACUUGGAGAUAGCUCGUACUCCCCGAAAUGCAUUUAGGUGCAGCCUUGUGGGUUACUGAUGUGAGGUAGAGCGACUGAUAAGAUGCGAGGGCUUCACCGCCUAUCAAGUCUUGACAAACUCCGAAUGCGCAUCAGUUUUACCUCAGGAGUGAGGGCAUGGGUGCUAAGGUCCGUGCCCGAGAGGAGAAGAAUCCGGACCACCUGCUAAGGUCCCGAAAUGACAGCUAAGUUAAACUAACGAAGUCUGACUGCUAAGACAGCUAGGAUGUUGGCUUGGAAGCAGCCAUUCAUUUAAAGAGUGCGUAACAGCUCACUAGUCGAGGAGUUUGGCGUGGAUAAUAAUCGGGCAUAAGUAUUCUACCGAAGCUUUGGGAUGAGAAAUCAUCGGUAGGGGAGCAUUCCACUCGGCGUCGAAGGUGAAGCGCGAGCUUUGCUGGAGCGUGUGGAAAAGCAAAUGUAGGUAUAAGUAACGAUAAAGGGGGUGAGAAACCCCCUCGCCGAAAGACUAAGGUUUCCUGAUCAACGCUAAUCGGAUCAGGGUAAGUCGGGUCCUAAGGCUCAGCCGAACGGCGAGGCCGAUGGCAGAACCGGUUAAUAUUCCGGUACUACCUGUGGGAGUGACGUGGAGACGGAGUCGUGACAGCGCCGCGGACUGACGGAAUAGUCCGUUGAAGGGUGUAGAUGCUGAUUGUUCCAGGCAAAUCCGGAGCAAGAGUCGAACCUGACAGUAUGGAGCGUUCUUAGAACAAUCCAAUAGUGCGUGUAAUCAUACUUCCAAGAAAAUCCGCUAAACUUAAUCCUGCAGGUACCCGUACCGCAAACGGACACACGUAGUCGGGUUGAAUAUACUAAGGCGCUUGAGUGAUUCACGGUUAAGGAACUAGGCAAAUUGACCCUGUAACUUCGGGAUAAAGGGUCCCUACUGAGAGGUAGGGCGCAGAGAAUAGGUCCAGGCAACUGUUUAACAAAAACACAUGGCUGUGCGAAAUGGAAACAUGAUGUAUACAGCCUGACACCUGCCCGGUGCCGGAAGGUUAAGAGGAGAUGUCAUCCGCGAGGAGAAGCGUUGAAUUGAAGCCCCGGUAAACGGCGGCCGUAACUAUAACGGUCCUAAGGUAGCGAAAUUCCUUGUCGGGU